UGGGGAAUAUUGGACAAUGGGCGGAAGCCUGAUCCAGCCAUGCCGCGUGUGUGAAGAAGGUCUUCGGAUUGUAAAGCACUUUAAGUUGGGAGGAAGGGCAUUAACCUAAUACGUUAGUGUUUUGACGUUACCGACAGAAUAAGCACCGGCUAACUCUGUGCCAGCAGCCGCGGUAAUACAGAGGGUGCAAGCGUUAAUCGGAAUUACUGGGCGUAAAGCGCGCGUAGGUGGUCUGUUAAGUUGGAUGUGAAAUCCCCGGGCUCAACCUGGGAACUGCAUUCAAAACUGACUGACUAGAGUAUGGUAGAGGGUGGUGGAAUUUCCUGUGUAGCGGUGAAAUGCGUAGAUAUAGGAAGGAACACCAGUGGCGAAGGCGACCACCUGGACUAAUACUGACACUGAGGUGCGAAAGCGUGGGGAGCAAACA
This 427-nucleotide ribosomal RNA is filed under the name uncultured bacterium. RNAcentral's name for it is "partial 16S ribosomal RNA". It matches the Rfam family "Bacterial small subunit ribosomal RNA", at positions 355 to 774 of the family's 1533-position model. The record is from RNAcentral.